UCCAGGUGACAUGGUUAGUUAUAUAUUACCAAACCACAGACAACACUCCAGGUGACAUGGUUAGGUAUAUAUUACCAAACCACAGACAACACUCCAGGUGACAUGGUUAGUUAUAUAUUACCAAACCACAGACAACACUCCAGGUGACAUGGUUAGGUAUAUAUUACCCAACAUGCAACACUCCAGGUGACAUGGUUAGGUAUAUAUUACCAAACCACAGACAACACUCCAGGUGACAUGGUUAGUUAUAUAUUACCAAACCACAGACAACACUCCAGGUGACAUGGUUAGUUAUAUAUUACCCAGCAGACAACACUCCAGGUGACAUGGUUAGUUAUAUAUUACCCAGCAGACAACACUCCAGGUGACAUGGUUAGGUAUAUAUUACCAAACCACAGACAACACUCCAGGUGACAUGGUUAGUUAUAUAUUACCAAACCACAGACAACACUCCAGGUGACAUGGUUAGUUAUAUAUUACCCAACAUGCAACACUCCAGGUGACAUGGUUAGUUAUACAUUACCAAACCACAGACAACACUCCAGGUGACAUGGUUAGUUAUACAUUACCAAACCACAGACAACACUCCAGGUGACAUGGUUAGUUAUAUAUUACCCAACAUGCAACACUCCAGGUGACAUGGUUAGUUAUAUAUUACCCAGCAGACAACACUCCAGGUGACAUGGUUAGUUAUAUAUUACCCAACAUGCAACACUCCAGGUGACGUGGUUAGUUAUAUAUUACCCAACAGACAACACUCCAGGUGACGUGGUUAGUUAUAUAUUACCCAACAGGCAACACUCCAGGUGACAUGGUUAGUUAUAUAUUACCCAGCAGACAACACUCCAGGUGACAUGGUUAGGUAUAUAUUACCAAACCACAGACAACACUCCAGGUGACAUGGUUAGGUAUAUAUUACCCAACAGACAACACUCCAGGUGACAUGGUUAGUUAUAUAUUACCCAACAUGCAACACUCCAGGUGACAUGGUUAGUUAUAUAUUACCCAAUAGGCAACACUCCAGGUGACAUGGUUAGUUAUAUAUUACCAAACCACAGACAACACUCCAGGUGACAUGGUUAGGUAUAUAUUACCAAACCACAGACAACACUCCAGGUGACAUGGUUAGGUAUAUAUUACCCAACAGACAACACUCCAGGUGACAUGGUUAGGUAUAUAUUACCCAACAGACAACACUCCAGGUGACAUGGUUAGGUAUAUAUUACCAAACCACAGACAACACUCCAGGUGACAUGGUUAGGUAUAUAUUACCAAACCACAGACAACACUCCAGGUGACAUGGUUAGUUAUAUAUUACCCAACAGACAACACUCCAGGUGACAUGGUUAGGUAUAUAUUACCAAACCACAGACAACACUCCAGGUGACAUGGUUAGUUAUACAUUACCAAACCACAGACAACACUCCAGGUGACAUGGUUAGUUAUACAUUACCAAACCACAGACAACACUCCAGGUGACAUGGUUAGUUAUAUAUUACCCAACAGACAACACUCCAGGUGACAUGGUUAGUUAUAUAUUACCAAACCACAGACAACACUCCAGGUGACAUGGUUAGUUAUAUAUUACCAAACCACAGACAACACUCCAGGUGACAUGGUUAGUUAUAUAUUACCCAACAGACAACACUCCAGGUGACAUGGUUAGUUAUACAUUACCAAACCACAGACAACACUCCAGGUGACAUGGUUAGUUAUAUAUUACCCAACAGACAACACUCCAGGUGACAUGGUUAGUUAUAUAUUACCAAACCACAGACAACACUCCAGGUGACAUGGUUAGUUAUAUAUUACCCAACAGACAACACUCCAGGUGACAUGGUUAGUUAUACAUUACCAAACCACAGACAACACUCCAGGUGACAUGGUUAGUUAUAUAUUACCCAACAGACAACACUCCAGGUGACAUGGUUAGUUAUAUAUUACCCAACAGACAACACUCCAGGUGACAUGGUUAGUUAUAUAUUACCCAACAGACAACACUCCAGGUGACAUGGUUAGUUAUAUAUUACCCAACAGGCAACACUCCAGGUGACAUGGUUAGUUAUAUAUUACCCAACAGGCAACACUCCAGGUGACAUGGUUAGUUAUAUAUUACCCAACAGGCAACACUCCAGGUGACAUGGUUAGGUAUAUAUUACCAAACCACAGACAACACUCCAGGUGACAUGGUUAGGUAUAUAUUACCCAACAGACAACACUCCAGGUGACAUGGUUAGUUAUA
Molecule: long non-coding RNA, 2242 nt
Organism: Salvelinus fontinalis (brook trout)
Lineage: Eukaryota; Metazoa; Chordata; Actinopteri; Salmoniformes; Salmonidae
Exons: 3
Source: RefSeq, a predicted model, not a curated record